This 500-nucleotide ribosomal RNA is filed under the name Lepas australis. Its description in RNAcentral is "partial 16S ribosomal RNA". It matches the Rfam family "Bacterial large subunit ribosomal RNA", at positions 1833 to 2597 of the family's 2925-position model. Lineage: Eukaryota; Metazoa; Arthropoda; Thecostraca; Lepadidae. The record is from RNAcentral.
UUCCUCCUACAUAAGGAGGUAAGGCCUGCUCACUGAAUUUUGAAGAGCCGCAGUAUCCUGACUGUGCUAAGGUAGCAUAAUAAUUUGUCUCUUAAUUGGGGACUAGAAUGAAUGGUCUAACGAGAAAUUAACUUUUUUAGGAAUAAUAAUUAAACUUAAUUUUUUAGUGAAAAAGCUAAAAUAAUAUAAAAAGACGAGAAGACCCUAUAGAGUUUUAUAUAUUAACUAUUUACAUUUUAAUAGCUUUUUAGAAUUGUAAAUAAAGACUAUAUUUUGUUGGGGCGACAUUUAGAUAAAAAAAACUUUUUAUAUUAAAAACUCAGAUUUGAGUAUUUACUGAUCCUUAAAAAAGAUUAAAAGUAUAAAUUACCUUAGGGAUAACAGCGUAAUCUCCCUUGAGAGCCCAAAUCGACAGGGAGGUUUGCGACCUCGAUGUUGGACUAAAAUUAAACUAAGGUGCAGAAGUCUUAGAUUUAGGUCUGUUCGACCUAUAGAUUUUU